Molecule: ribosomal RNA, 510 nt
Filed under: Triticum aestivum (bread wheat)
Lineage: Eukaryota; Viridiplantae; Streptophyta; Magnoliopsida; Poales; Poaceae
Description: partial small subunit ribosomal RNA
Source: RNAcentral
AUGCGACAAGAUGUCAUUCAGGAAUUUUUGGCGCUUUAUCAAAGAACAGGGCCUUAUCUACUGAUCGAGCCCUACUUGGUCGAUGAAGCGCUUCGUUCCUAUCUGGACCAUAUUCACGCAACUGAUUCUUUCACUGUUCUCCAAGCGUCUUACCAAGAUUCGCGGGAGAAUGAGGGAGGAUCUGUUUUCUUUAGAAAUGUUGUUUCCCACAACAGGGAUCUCCUUGAGGCGGAAAGCUCCGCAAGGAGGUGCUUGGAAGUGGAACAGAGGAUCCGAUGGCAAGAAAUCCCCAAGAGCAAGGCAAGUCUCGAAAGAGCUGAGCACGAGCAUGCUCUCGACUUGUUUAAGUCGGAGGAUCUUAGAAGGGAAUUAGAAAAAAAAGAGCGGGGUAGCUCAGUAAUUCUGAUUCUUUUCUCUUCCAGCCCCCGGGCGGGCCCCUCUUUCUUUUCUCUUCCAGCCCCCCGGCCCCUCUUUGAUAAGGAAAGUCUUCAUUUCUCAAAUAAAAAAUGA